GACGAACGCUGGCGGCGUGCUUAACACAUGCAAGUCGAACGCUGAAGCCCUUUCGGGGGUGGAUGAGUGGCGAACGGGUGUGUAACACGUGGGUAAUCUGCCCUGCACUCUGGGAUAAGCCUUGGAAACGGGGUCUAAUACCGGAAAGGACACAUCGCCGCAUGGUGUGUGUGUGGAAAGUUCUGGCGGUGGAGGUUGGGCCCGCGGCCUAUCAGAUUGGUGGUGGGGUGAUGGCCUACCAAGGCGACGACGGGUAGACGGCCUGAGAGGGUGACCGGCCACAAUGGGACUGGGACACGGCCCAGUGUGCUACUGGAGGCAGCAGGGGGGAAUCUUACGCAAUGGGCGAAAGCCUGAGGCAGAAACGCCGCGUGGGGAAUGACGGCCUUCGGGUUGUAAACCUCUUUCGACCGAGACGAAGGGUGACUGACGGUACCGGUAGAAGAAGCACCGGCUAACUACGUGCCAGCCGCCGCGGUAA
This 481-nucleotide ribosomal RNA is filed under the name uncultured bacterium. Its description in RNAcentral is "partial 16S ribosomal RNA". It matches the Rfam family "Bacterial small subunit ribosomal RNA", at positions 28 to 523 of the family's 1533-position model. The record is from RNAcentral.